UGAGAGGGAGCGGCACGGAGUUGGAAAUUCUGAAUUCUGAUGGAACCUGCUGACCACAAGCACGUGGUGGGCACUAGCUGUGACGUCGAAUCCUCCUCCCAGUGGCUUUAACUCACUGUGAUGUCUAACCUUUCUCCGGCGGCCCUUCUAAUGAGGUCCCGUUCCGGCCAUAGAGACUGGCUUUCCGUUAAGUGCCCCAGACACCCCAGCUGCGGUAAUUCCCUCCCCCUCCUGCAUCUGAGUGGGCUUCAGCCCAGGUACUGAGGCCCCGGCAGGGCUGGCAUCAGCAGGGGAAGAGAGCUGGACGGCAGGGCCCCGACUGUGCAGCGGGAACAUUAUAAACUCGCUCCACCGGAGGCCAUGCCUCACAUCCUUCUCCAGGGAUCCAGGUACAGUUGCUUUCCUGCUUCUGCCUGCUGAGUUAGAGGCCAGCCAUCUGCCUCACCGCUGGGCAGGGAAGAUAAACAGCCCGGAGCCACGCUGAAGGCAGAGAUUUUGAGCAAUGUAUCCCUUCCUACAAGAAAGCCGUGUUUCAAAUGGAAAAAGAAUCCUUGAGUUUCUUUUUUUAUUUCAAAUUUGAAAGGAAACAUAAUCAACAAGUGGCUUGAAAAGCAGCUGGCUUCAGAUAAAUAGUGUGAUGAGGAGAUACCGUCGAAGUGAUGUCCUGAUGAUUGGCACAAUUAAAAUCAAUACCAAUUGUUAAAAAAUGUCUCCACUGUGAACUACCUUUGGAUGGUUUCUGUCAAGGCCCUCGAUUAUGAUUAAAGCCGAGUGCAUAAAAUUCACACAACUAUUGGGAGGCGAGGGAGGUUUAUAUUGUGCCUCUGCUGUGUGUGUGUGUGUGUGUGUGUGUGUGUGUGUGUGUGUGUGUGUGUGUACACACACAAGCGCACAUACUCUUUUCUAAGCUGAAGUUGAACAGGACCUGAGAUUCAAGGUAGAGUUCAGUGACUACAUCCAUCAGGAACAUACUUCAGCAGGACGGCGCCCCACCGGGAACUGGGAUCUGCUGGAUCGUGAGGUGUGCACCAUUUUGGUCUUUCCUUAGGUCCUUGUGUGGGAACAGCUUCAGAGGCCUUCACCCCACAUCCCCACAAGCAAAUGUUGAACUGAGGACUUGGUACGUGUCUCACAGAGCUGAGGACAUCGAGUGAGGGAAAGAGACGCCUGUUGCUCUCAGACACUGGUGGGAAAACAAACAAAAAAAGCAAGAGGAAUAAUGGCAGUAGAUGAUCCCCCACAGAAAUGAGCCCCACACACCCCACCAUCAUACGCUGACUUGUCAAAGGCCCAAAGCAGCAGGGCCCAACCUGCCACAGCCUGGAGCCUCCGAAACCAGCCAAGCUGUCUGGAACCACUGUCUGGAAGGCUUCUUCCCCAUCCCGGCAACCGUACCCAGCAAUCAGGAGGCACUGCGAAAACAUCUAGAAGACCCAGAGGGGUCAUUAGCCGAGGGAUCGCGAAUGAUGAAGGGGAGGACGGAGCCCAGCCAGUUGCACUGUGCAUCACGGAGGUUUUAACACUGUAUACGUCCAGGCUGUCCUGGAGAGAUUCACUUGGUUCUUCAGCAGAACAGAGGAACCCUGCGGGCUUCCCGUCACACUGGGGAUUCCCUUGUGUAGGAUGAGAACCACUGGCUUCAGUGGUGAGGGACUUUCUGCUGCUUCUUCUGCCCACUCCGGCAGUUCUCGGAGGGGGAGACCC
Non-coding RNA from Peromyscus maniculatus bairdii (prairie deer mouse), 1704 nucleotides. NCBI's taxonomy places the organism in Eukaryota, Metazoa, Chordata, Mammalia, Rodentia, Cricetidae. The record is from RefSeq and is a predicted model, not a curated record.